This 497-nucleotide ribosomal RNA is filed under the name uncultured bacterium. Its description in RNAcentral is "partial 16S ribosomal RNA". It matches the Rfam family "Bacterial small subunit ribosomal RNA", at positions 28 to 507 of the family's 1533-position model. The record is from RNAcentral.
GAUGAACGCUGGCGGCGUGCCUAAUACAUGCAAGUCGAGCGAACAGACGAGGAGCUUGCUCCUCUGACGUUAGCGGCGGACGGGUGAGUAACACGUGGAUAACCUACCUAUAAGACUGGGAUAACUUCGGGAAACCGGAGCUAAUACCGGAUAAUAUAUUGAACCGCAUGGUUCAAUAGUGAAAGACGGUUUUGCUGUCACUUAUAGAUGGAUCCGCGCCGCAUUAGCUAGUUGGUAAGGUAACGGCUUACCAAGGCAAGGAUGCGUAGCCGACCUGAGAGGGUGAUCGGCCACACGGGAACGGAGACACGGUCCAGACUACUACGGGAGGGAGCAGUAGGGAAUCUUACGCAAUGGGCGAAAGCCUGACGGAGCAACGCCGCGUGAGUGAUGAAGGUCUUCGGAUCGUAAAACUCUGUUAUUAGGGAAGAACAAAUGUGUAAGUAACUAUGCACGUCUUGACGGUACCUAAUCAGAAAGCCACGGCUAACUACGUG